Long non-coding RNA from Solanum verrucosum, 150 nucleotides. RefSeq lists it as uncharacterized. NCBI's taxonomy places the organism in Eukaryota, Viridiplantae, Streptophyta, Magnoliopsida, Solanales, Solanaceae. The record is from RefSeq and is a predicted model, not a curated record. The transcript has 2 exons.
CAUUUUCUUUUAGUUGUAAAGAGUAGAAGGAAUUGAGUGAAUUUGUAAGAGUGCAUCACACAAAUUUAUAGGCAGAGGUUGCCUUCAUUGUAGUGAGGUACUACGUACUAGUGGUGUCUAACAACCACAUGUUGAACAAUUUGAAGAUAA